RNAcentral lists this unclassified non-coding RNA (531 nucleotides) under Notoacmea scopulina. Its description in RNAcentral is "partial miscellaneous RNA". Lineage: Eukaryota; Metazoa; Mollusca; Gastropoda; Acmaeidae. The record is from RNAcentral.
CCGUAUUCUGCUCACGUCGGAUUAGCUCUCUUCUCCUUGCGAGAAAGGCAACCGCGUGGCUUUACGAAACUUUUUCGCCACAGGACGAUUCCCUUUUGGGUGCGCGUGGCAGAUGCUAGGAGACUCCGUCCAGGAGUCCUUCGCUACUCUCAUUCGUUCGGUCCGCGGACGAUAAGCUCCGUACGAGACAGCGAGGUUUUACCAGUCUGUGGCGAGGUCUAGGGAAUGAGGAGACUCUCCCUGCACCUCGGCAUGUCCGCUCGUAGUGCCGGUACGUACGUGACACACACACACACGAAUGACCCUUUCCAAGUCGCUAGAUCAAGCGUUGGUCUGGGUGCGUUCAAAGAGCUUUUGGUGGAAACGCCAAGCCGCCGGCCAAAUUUCUCCCCGGUCGUCUAACUAUAUAUAUUAUUUUCCACACGAACAAGGACACAACUAGUUUGUUGCGAGCCGUCGUCUUUUCGGCGGCCGUCUCACUCAAUAUGAAACGUUAACGUACGACCGUAGGCGUUGGAUCACUCGGCUCGU